Molecule: ribosomal RNA, 206 nt
Filed under: uncultured bacterium
Lineage: Bacteria
Description: partial 16S ribosomal RNA
Rfam family: Bacterial small subunit ribosomal RNA
Source: RNAcentral
CUCGUAGGCGGUUUGUCGCGUCUGCUGUGAAAACCCGAGGCUCAACCUCGGGCCUGCAGUAGGUACGGGCAGACUAGAGUGCGGUAGGGGAGAUUGGAAUUCCUGGUGUAGCGGUGGAAUGCGCAGAUAUCAGGAGGAACACCAAUGGCGAAGGCAGAUCUCUGGGCCGUAACUGACGCUGAGGAGCGAAAGCAUGGGAGCGAACA